This 729-nucleotide long non-coding RNA is filed under the name Ursus maritimus (polar bear). RNAcentral describes it as "lncRNA (ENSUMAG00000004737.1)". Lineage: Eukaryota; Metazoa; Chordata; Mammalia; Carnivora; Ursidae. The record is from RNAcentral.
CGCCUCCCCCAUGUUUCCCUUCUUGACAUCCCAUUUCCUUUCCUACCCCUAAUUCGAUUGUACCCUCCUGACUUAGGAAAUGGGGCGGAGAGUGUUCUGUUUGGUGACCACUAAUCACAGGUCAUUUCCACGGCUUUCCUACAAGGACCCCUAAGAGGCUCUCUGCUGGGGACCUGUACGGACUCACCUCUCCCAGCCCACGCUCUGUCCCCCGCAGCGGCUCCAACGUGUCCGGUCACAUCCCGACAGCAAUGAGGUGGGCCUGCCCGAGGCCUCCUUGUAGGGGGACCCGAGCAGCCUGCCGGGAAGGACAACCUAGUAGACCAUUGGGACUGAGCACUGUAUUAUCUGAGGAACUUCCCAGGGGCUAAGAGCCAUCCUACCAGCGCUUGUGAGAUCAGUGAGAAGCCGCUUCCUGAGUGUUCACACCCACCAAGUGAGCGGGUCCUCCAAGCUCUCCUUCUCCGUGCCUGCCGUGUCCCUCCGCAGUCCGCGAGCACCUGUCGCAGAGGGCGAGGAGGAAGACAAUGCGCGUCUGCAUCCUGACGAUGGGAAGCCGCCCCGUACCCGUCCUCGAUUCCACAGGCCACACUUGCUGCUCCUGCUGUGACCUGGUCGAGUGCUGGGCUCUGACACUCGUCUCUCCUCUUGGGCCGACGCCGGUCCUCAUCACACCUCCGAGGAGUCACUGAGCAACACUCUGCUUUCAGUAAAAGACCAAGCUUAACG